ACAAAAGAGACCAACAUCAGUACUGUUCAACAUAUGGGCAACUGCAAAUUAUCUGGCAGUUACGCCUACAUUAAGCAGUGUUCACCAAAGUUAUUACCAAGGGGCUGAUUAAUUACUUAAAUUUAUCAGCAUCAAAAUACACUCAACAAUUACUCUGCACAGGCAUCAGUUUUAAAAGGAUCUGUAUCUGGAAUCUGGGGAAAGAUAAUCAUUCAUAGAAUGGCCACGUCACGAGUAGAGGCCAUUCAGCCCACUGAAUGCGUACCAGCUUGAAAAACAAAUCCAUUCUGUGAAUUCCUUCCUAUUGGACCUCACCCAUUGACAAUGAAACCUGCCUGCACCAUGACCCCACCUAACCCCACACCCCAAACACUCACUGGCUUUGCUGUCAGCUUUGGUUGCUGAGCCCAACACCCUCAUUUUACGGUCCCUUUUCCUUCAUAAUUCAAUGGAACUGAAGAUCUCUAUCUUGAAGAAAGCAGACAGUGUAGGCGGGUCGUGUAGUGAGUUCUUUUGAAGACCCUAACGUGGGGUUACGCGCUGACUUCGGUUCUUUGCGGGAAUGGGACCCGCUGAUGGGGCCUCACGACUGGUCGCUAUUCAAUAUGCCAAGGGCGCGGCCUAGGAGACCUGCACGCCUUAGGGAUCUCGUGGCUCUGGAGGUGGGCAGACUCGAGGCUGCUGCUGCUGCAGGAAAUCCCUGUGUCGUGGGAGAAGGAAGAUCUAAAGCAGCGAGCUGGCUGCGGGCUCUGUGCCCAGGGACCCGAGAUCUUUGACACAACAGACUUUUAACAUCGUAAAUCAGUGAGGUGCUUGUUAUGUGGCCCCUCUCGCUGUGUAAUGGAGACAGAUGAGGGAGAGACAGAGAGAGCCUGUGGUAUAUCGAAUACUGGGAGAAUGAGUAACCACAAGCCUGUGUCUUUAUUGAUGCUUUGCUGCAUGCUGGAGUGCUCGGUGGGGGUUUUUACUGGUGGGGGAGGGGGGUCAUUGCUUUGAUGCUGCCCGUGAGAGGGUGGGGGAAGCUGGAGAGGGGCUUCAGAGUUCUAACACUUAACUCUCAUUCAUUCUUUCGGGCAACUCCUCGUGGAAGGCUGUGAAGAAAAAGCAUUUCAGGCUGUAUAUUGUAUACAUUUCUCUGACAUUAAAUGUUCCUUCGAAAUCUUUGAAACCAUCUGCACAUUACAACACACUGUCACUACACCUGACUGUCUGCACAUUACAACACACUGUCACUGUACCUGAAUGUCUGCACAUUACAACACACUGUCACUACACCUGACUGUCUACACAUUACAACACACUGUCACUACACCUGACUGUCUGCACAUUACAACACACUGUCACUGUACCUGAAUGUCUGCACAUUACAACACACUGUCACUGUACCUGUUUACACAUUACACUGUCACUACACCUGACUGUCUACACAUUACAACACAUUGUCACUGUAUCUGACUGUCUACACAUUACAACACACUGUCACUGUACCUGACUGUCUACACAUUACAACACACUGUCACUACACCUGAUUGUCUACAUAUGUCAACACACUGUCACUGUACCUGAAUGUCUACACAUUACAACACACUGUCACUGUACCUGACUGUCUACACAUGUCAACACACUGUCACUGUACCUGACUGUCUACACAUUACAACACAUUGUCACUACACCUGUCUACACAUGUCAACACACUGUCACUGUACCUGACUGUAUACACAUUACAACACACUGUCACUACACCUGACUGUCUACACAUUACAACACACUGUUACUGUACCUGACUGUCUACACAUUACAACACACUGUCACUACACCUGACUGUCUACACAUGUCAACACACUGUCACUGUACCUGACUGUCCACACAUUACAACACACUGUCACUACACCUGACUGUCUACGCAUUACAACACACUGUCACUACACCUGACUGUCUACACCAGGGGUCGGCAACGUUUACCACUAAAAGAGCCAAUAUGGACCCAUUUCCCACAGAAAAGAAAACACUGGGAGCCACAAAAUGAAAUAACACUGCAUACAACGGGUUUUUUUUGCCUUUAUGCUAUGUAUAAACAAACUAUAAUGUGUUGCAUUUUUGAAAUUGAUGAACUCCUGCAGAGAAAACGAAAUUACAUUUCUGCAUGCAACAAAAACAUUUUGAACUCUGAAAAAAAGACGUUGGGUUGAAGGUUACUACAUAGGUAGCCUACCUUGGAUCGAAGAAUUAAAAGAAAGCGCGCACUGGCGGGUGUCAGGCAUUGGCAGUUGUGAUGUAUAUUAAUAGCGAUAAAAAACACGUUGUAGCGGUGUAGCGCUACACGCAGCGCUAAAAAAAAGACUGCAGUCAAAGGUAACUUUAUUCGAACUAAACAGCCUUGCUUUAAAGCCUCCCUCAACCCGUCCCCGUGGGCGCGGAUGCUCCAAAAGACACGUACUCACAAACCCCCGUAGGCUAUCUCCCUUAGUCGGAACGGUGGCUAAUUGUGAGCCGGUUCGGAUGUGCCAGGAAACGGUGUCUCCGCAAAGUUUUCAUAUUGUACAAGAUCACCAUAAUCUUCAAAUUUCGAAUUACAUUUCAAAAGCUAACAAACCACGGGGAGCCGCAUCACAGAGAUCAAAGAGCCGCAUGUGGCUCUGGAGCCGCAGGUUGCCGACCUCUGGUCUACACAUUACAACAUACUGUCACUGUACCUGACUGUCUACACAUGUCAACACACUGUCACUGUACCUGACUGUCUACACACUACAACACACUGUCUCUGUACCUGACUGUCUAAACAUUACAAUACACUGUCACUGUAUCUGACUGUCUACACAUUACAACACACUGUCACUGUACCUGACUGUCCACACAUUACAACACACUGUCACUACACCUGACUGUCUACACAUUACAACACACUGUCACUGUAUCUGACUGUCUACACAUUACAACACACUGUCACUGUACCUGACUGUCUACACAUUACAACACACUGUCACUGUACCUGACUGUCUACACAUUACAAUACACUGUCACUGUACCUGACUGUCCACACAUUACAACACACUGUCACUACACCUGUCUACGCAUUACAACACACUGUCACUACACUUGUCUACACAUUACAACACACUGUCACUGUACCUGACUGUCUA
Molecule: long non-coding RNA, 3140 nt
Organism: Hypanus sabinus (Atlantic stingray)
Lineage: Eukaryota; Metazoa; Chordata; Chondrichthyes; Myliobatiformes; Dasyatidae
Exons: 2
Source: RefSeq, a predicted model, not a curated record